Sorex fumeus (smoky shrew) is the source of this 268-nucleotide long non-coding RNA. RefSeq lists it as uncharacterized. The record is from RefSeq and is a predicted model, not a curated record. Lineage: Eukaryota; Metazoa; Chordata; Mammalia; Eulipotyphla; Soricidae. The transcript has 3 exons.
ACAUACCAUGGAAGUACUUGCGAAGGAAUUACUUACAGAACCGAAUCCGUGUAUACAGGCCCUGAGCAUUGUACCUUGGAUGAUCAAGCUUCCAUUGUAACUGUUGAGCAGUAUGGAUCACGUAACUCUUCUAGCGAAUGCAACAUCGAGUCUGCGUCAUCGCCAGACUCACAUUCAUCUUCUCCACAACCCUCUGCUAGUUGGAACGCUCUAACAUGCUUCCAGAACUUUAGCUUUAAUUUGGAUCGCAACCGCCACUUGCUGCAGA